RNAcentral lists this ribosomal RNA (435 nucleotides) under uncultured bacterium. RNAcentral's name for it is "bacterial SSU rRNA". It matches the Rfam family "Bacterial small subunit ribosomal RNA", at positions 43 to 524 of the family's 1533-position model. The record is from RNAcentral.
CAGGCCUAACACAUGCAAGUCGAACGAAGGCUUCGGCCUUAGUGGCGCACGGGUGCGUAACGCGUGGGAAUCUGCCCUUGGGUUCGGAAUAACAGCGAGAAAUUGCUGCUAAUACCGGAUGAUGACGUAAGUCCAAAGAUUUAUCGCCCAAGGAUGAGCCCGCGUAGGAUUAGCUAGUUGGUGGGGUAAAGGCCCACCAAGGCGACGAUCCUUAGCUGGUCUGAGAGGAUGAUCAGCCACACUGGGACUGAGACACGGCCCAGACUCCUACGGGAGGCAGCAGUGGGGAAUAUUGGACAAUGGGCGAAAGCCUGAUCCAGCAAUGCCGCGUGAGUGAUGAAGGCCUUAGGGUUGUAAAGCUCUUUUACCCGGGAUGAUAAUGACAGUACCGGGAGAAUAAGCUCCGGCUAACUCCGUGCCAGCAGCCGCGGUAAU